GACGAACGCUGGCGGCGUGCCUAAUACAUGCAAGUAGAACGCUGAAGGAGGAGCUUGCUUCUCUGGAUGAGUUGCGAACGGGUGAGUAACGCGUAGGUAACCUGCCUGGUAGCGGGGGAUAACUAUUGGAAACGAUAGCUAAUACCGCAUAAGAGUAGAUGUCGCAUGACAUUUGCUUAAAAGGUGCAAUUGCAUCACUACCAGAUGGACCUGCGUUGUAUUAGCUAGUUGGUGAGGUAACGGCUCACCAAGGCAACGAUACAUAGCCGACCUGAGAGGGUGAUCGGCCAAACUGGGACUGAGACACGGCCCAGACUCCUACGGGAGGCAGCAGUAGGGAAUCUUCGGCAAUGGACGGAAGUCUGACCGAGCAACGCCGCGUGAGUGAAGAAGGUUUUCGGAUCGUAAAGCUCUGUUGUAAGAGAAGAACGAGUGUGAGAGUGGAAAGUUCACACUGUGACGGUAUCUUACCAGAAAGGGACGGCUAACUACGUG
Molecule: ribosomal RNA, 495 nt
Filed under: uncultured bacterium
Lineage: Bacteria
Description: partial 16S ribosomal RNA
Rfam family: Bacterial small subunit ribosomal RNA
Source: RNAcentral